UGUGACUGGAACCAAACAUUUUGAUCUGCUCACCAACAUGUUCAUGACACGAAGCUUCUGAGACUCACGUUGUUUCCUGUUCACAAAAGAAAGUUGUUAUAUGUUAAUGUGACUUUUUCUUCUUUAAAUCUGUCAACAACCAACGUGAUUUUGGUCAAACGUGAUUUUUCACUGAGCGACAGUUUCACCUGAUGGAGAUUUAAAAAAAAAAGGACGAGAAGCUGAAUCCAGACAUUUAAACGUUCAAUGAGUCUGAGCUUCUGGGGCGGGGGGGUGAGUCGGUUCACCUGGGUCACCACCUGCACCACAGUGAAAAGCUCCAUCUGCUCACCAGUCCACCUCUGGAACGCGUCUCUGGCCCCGUCGAGCUCUUGGCCUCGUCUCCCCCCCCCCGACUGAAGAUCAGCCAGAUAACGUUAUCUCCCGACCAAUCGGACGCCUGGAUCCAUACCUCAUCCCUCAGUUCAUUGGCCUGUUCAACUCCACCCAUCUGGCACCGGAGGAGGAUGAAAACAAGGCAGGUCAAAAAGAAGUUUGUGCAAACGCUCUGAAACAGGUCGGUGCAGUGCAACAUCACAUCUGGCUCAUUGUCUUUGAAGGGACGGAGCUGGAUGUGCAGCCGGCAAGGAAGAACUCACACGUUUCACUUGAGUAAAAGUACAAGUUAACUUUUUUCACUUGCUUUUAAAUACACUUAAAGCAUUAAAAGUACUUGCCGUGUUUCCCCUAAAGCAACGGUCAACGACAUCAUAAUGGCUGUCUUCAGGAGGCGGAGUCUAAUGAUACCUGCCCUCUCUGAUUGGACCAAUUCCCCCACUCGUUAUUCAUCGCUUAAAAAAACAAUGCGAACGUGUGAUGUAAUGCUUUGUAAAAAAAGUAGUGGAGUAGAAAGUACAGAUACAUGUUAAGUGCAGUAACUAAGUAAAUGUACUUUGUUACAUCCCACCACUGCCUGCAAGUUGCAGAAUUAUGAAAGUUGUUCAGUUGAUGCAUCUGUAGUUUUAUAGAGUCACAUUAGAUCAGAAGAGCAAAAAGUAAAUUUAAAGCUUUUGAAAAUGAAGUUUUGCUGCAACAUCGUGAACUUGUUGUGUCUCUGUGUGUUUAAGUUUCCGGAGUGUGUGCGUCAGUGCCUGAGAAGAUGUCUCACUACAAACGUUUUGCUCAUUUUGACAAAACUAAUCAUAUUUAAAUGAUCUGAAAAUCAGUCUUGCUUCUUUAAAACUGACCAACCUGAGGUUUCAGUCUCUUUUUAAAAGUGUUCACACGUGAAUCUGAAUGAAAUCUUUAGUAUUUCAGUGCCUGUCUAUGUGUCUGUGCCUCUUCUGCCUC
This is a long non-coding RNA of Hippoglossus stenolepis (Pacific halibut), 1329 nucleotides long. RefSeq lists it as uncharacterized. The transcript is spliced from 3 exons. The record is from RefSeq and is a predicted model, not a curated record. NCBI's taxonomy places the organism in Eukaryota, Metazoa, Chordata, Actinopteri, Pleuronectiformes, Pleuronectidae.